This 253-nucleotide ribosomal RNA is filed under the name uncultured bacterium. Its description in RNAcentral is "partial 16S ribosomal RNA". It matches the Rfam family "Bacterial small subunit ribosomal RNA", at positions 524 to 776 of the family's 1533-position model. The record is from RNAcentral.
CACGUAGGGGACGAGCGUUGUUCGGAUUCAUUGGGCGUAAAGGGUGCGUAGGUGGCGAGGUUAGUCAGGUGUGAAAUCUCGGGGCUCAACCCCGAAACUGCACUUGAUACUGCCUUGCUAGAGUACUGGAGAGGAGAUUGGAAUUUACGGUGUAGCAGUGAAAUGCGUAGAUAUCGUAAGGAAGACCAGUGGCGAAGGCGAAUCUCUGGACAGUUACUGACACUGAGGCACGAAGGCCAGGGGAGCAAACGGG